CAUCCUCACCCAGCCCCUCACCCAGUGGGAACGAUCUCAAGCCCCUUGAUUCCCCUUCAAAUCACGGACAGGCUGACCUGCUCCCCACUAAACCCACCUCACUGGCAUAGAACUGGGAGGGGAUGAAGCGAGAACACACCUGAUGUGGACACAGCCACCCCCUCGGGGCCUGCCUGCUCUCCCUCAGCCCAUUCACCACAUCUGCCUCACUGGGGAAAGGUGCUGGGGCUCAGCCACACCCCGGCCAGAUAUCCUGGGGCCCUGAUCCUCUGGGUCUGGCCUCGUGGUGGCAGCAGAGACGCGGGGGCACAGGGAGCCAGGAAAAUGGUCCCCCAGCUGGGUCCUAAUAAUGGCCACUGCGGGGUGAGCACCUGGGGUGUCAGGCUGGGCGGUGGUGGCUCCUGCACACCUUUGUGCUCUUGCUGGGGCUCCAGAGGCCAGCCGGGGACACGAGCAGACCACGCUCCCCACGGCCCUGGCCUUGACCGAGGCCACAUGCCAGAGCUGCCCCAGAGCCAGAACCCAAGCCCGGCUGCCUGGCUCCAAAGCCCACAGCUGCCAGGGCCUCCCCCGCGGCCUCCUCCCGCCUCCCCUCCACGUGGCCCUGGGCUCCCCGCACCCUUUCUCUUGACUCCAGGUGAAGCCAGAGGUCCUCAGCCACCCCGAGCGGUUCUCUCUCAUCUACUCGGGUCACCCGUUCAUCGUGCCAGGAGGACGCUUUGUCGAGUUCUAUUACUGGGACUCCUACUGGGUGAUGGAGGGUCUGCUCCUGUCCGAGAUGCCAGGGACGGUGAAGGGCAUGCUGCAGAACUUCCUGGACCUGGUGCAGACGUACGGACACG
This 842-nucleotide long non-coding RNA is filed under the name Sus scrofa (pig). RNAcentral describes it as "lncRNA (ENSSSCG00060014577.1)". The record is from RNAcentral. Lineage: Eukaryota; Metazoa; Chordata; Mammalia; Artiodactyla; Suidae.